CAUUGGAGGCAUUUUUUGAAACACCCCGCGGCAGUGCCGCCGAGCUUCAGCGGCAUUUUCUGGUCAAUCGGCCGGUUCUUUUACUCCAAUUUGGCCAUGAAUGAGUUUAAAAUUGAAUUACAUGCAAAAGAGGAAAUUUUUACCUCGUUUGGCAGUCGAAAAUUGCUCCAGUACGGCGGCGGGUGACGGCGGUCGGCUCCCCAGCGGGUUGGAUUGUCUUCUCCGGCAAUGGGCUCUAGC
This 240-nucleotide long non-coding RNA is filed under the name Carica papaya (papaya). RNAcentral describes it as "long non-coding RNA (CPAP_LNC001669)". Lineage: Eukaryota; Viridiplantae; Streptophyta; Magnoliopsida; Brassicales; Caricaceae. The record is from RNAcentral.